RNAcentral lists this ribosomal RNA (253 nucleotides) under uncultured bacterium. RNAcentral describes it as "partial 16S ribosomal RNA". It matches the Rfam family "Bacterial small subunit ribosomal RNA", at positions 524 to 776 of the family's 1533-position model. The record is from RNAcentral.
UACGAAUGGAGCAAGCGUUGUUCGGAAUCACUGGGCUUAAAGCGUAUGUAGGCGGACUUACAAGUCAGGAGUGAAAUCCCAGAGCUCAACUCUGGAACUGCUCUUGAAACUGUAAGUCUAGAAUCCUGGAGAGGUUAGGAGAAUUCCGAGUGUAGAGGUGAAAUUCGCAGAUAUUCGGAGGAAUACCAGUGGCGUAGGCGCCUAACUGGACAGGUAUUGACGCUCAGAUACGAAAGCGUGGGGAGCAAACAGG